AGAGCGAACGCUGGCGGCAGGCUUAACACAUGCAAGUCGAGCGCCCCGCAAGGGGAGCGGCAGACGGGAGAGUAACACGUGGGAACGUACCUUUCGGUUCGGAACAACCCAGGGAAACUUGGGCUAAUACCGGAUACGUCCGUAAGGAGAAAGAUUUAUCGCCGAAAGAUCGGCCCGCGUCUGAUUAGCUAGUUGGUGAGGUAACGGCUCACCAAGGCGACGAUCAGUAGCUGGUCUGAGAGGAUGAUCAGCCUCACUGGGACUGAGACACGGCCCAGACUCCUACGGGAGGCAGCAGUGGGGAAUAUUGGACAAUGGGCGCAAGCCUGAUCCAGCCAUGCCGCGUGGGUGAUGAAGGCCCUAGGGGUUGUAAAGCCCUUUCGGCGGGGAAGAUAAUGACGGUACCGCAGAAGAAGCCCCGGCUAACUUCGUGCCAGCAGCCGC
RNAcentral lists this ribosomal RNA (444 nucleotides) under uncultured bacterium. RNAcentral describes it as "SSU rRNA". It matches the Rfam family "Bacterial small subunit ribosomal RNA", at positions 26 to 518 of the family's 1533-position model. The record is from RNAcentral.